CCCAAUGAUGAAAAUUUAAUGGCCGCGGUAUAUUGACCGUGCGAAGGUAGCAUAAUAAUUUGUCUUUUAAUUGAGGACUAGUAUAAAUGGUCGAACAAAAAGUUAGCUGUCUCUGAGUCAUAUCUUGAAUUUAACAUUUAAGUGAAAAGGCUUAAAUAAUUUAAGGGGACGAUAAGACCCUAUAAAUCUUUAUAUUAAUUUAUUGUUAAGCUGGGGAAUAGAAUUAAUUCAUGGGAUAACAAUUCUAAAUAUUUUGUUGGGGAGACAGAAGUAUAAAAGAAUAACUACUUUAAAUAAAGAGUUAAUGAUAUUUAAUGUANANACCCUUUCUUAAGGGUUAUAGAACAAGUUACUUUAGGGAUAACAGCGUAAUUUCUUUUGANANUCC
This 388-nucleotide ribosomal RNA is filed under the name Thenus australiensis. RNAcentral's name for it is "partial 16S ribosomal RNA". It matches the Rfam family "Archaeal large subunit ribosomal RNA", at positions 1954 to 2570 of the family's 2987-position model. The record is from RNAcentral. Lineage: Eukaryota; Metazoa; Arthropoda; Malacostraca; Decapoda; Scyllaridae.